RNAcentral lists this long non-coding RNA (288 nucleotides) under Elaeis guineensis (African oil palm). RNAcentral describes it as "long non-coding RNA (EGUI_LNC012019)". The record is from RNAcentral. Lineage: Eukaryota; Viridiplantae; Streptophyta; Magnoliopsida; Arecales; Arecaceae.
GGCUAUUCGCUUCCUUUCUCUCACCCGUCUUCAAGCCGUACCAAAGUCCUACUAAAGCUAAGCUGGUUAAGUCAAGGUUUGGAAGCUAGCAUAAGGUGCUGAAAACCUUAGAAUUUUCUAUUCACAUACAAUAACCAUUAUCUACAGAAAGUUAGAAGCAAGCUCAAAAAAUUUCACUGCCCACAAGUUCCCACUUACAAAAGAAUAAAUGAAAAUUCUUUGCUUCUUCCUUGGAUGCGAAAGAUUAGGGCCAGUUUCAUAUGCAACAAAAAGGAAGCAAUGGCCAAG